CAAAGAGAACAAGUAUUGAAGGGGGCAUAAAGAACUAUGGGAGAAGCAUCCAUUUGACAAGCUCAAAGUCAUUGGUUCGCACUACCGUGGUUAUAUCAAAGAUGCAAUGGGAAAGAAAGUUAGCUUGUUCACCAUCUUGACUGCAUUUUCAUUGUUUCUUAUUAGGCCUGAGAUGUAGAUAUACUGAAAGUUGUACACUGCAGGGGUCUAUACCCACAAACCAAGGAAGGCAACUCAGAAGUUUUUCCCUGCCAAUAACCAAGAUUCACAAGGAUAGGAGGGCAGAGAUAUCAUGCUGCCAUGGAAUUGGUCCAUUUGUCAUUGCCUUGCUGCUUUCAUGUUCCCUGAUAUUCAGUAGCCAUAUACUUUUAGGACUUAGGAUGUGAUUUCACAUGCGUUGCUGAUCAUAGUUGAUGCUUUUGUCGGUUCAGGGUGAGCUAUUUUGUGUACAAUUGCUAUUGGCCGUGUAAUGACUGGCUAUGCAUGGCUCUGUUUUAUUGAGCUUAGAUGAAAAUUUGAUGGACCACCUAAAUUCA
Long non-coding RNA from Triticum dicoccoides, 536 nucleotides. RefSeq lists it as uncharacterized. The record is from RefSeq and is a predicted model, not a curated record. Lineage: Eukaryota; Viridiplantae; Streptophyta; Magnoliopsida; Poales; Poaceae. The transcript has 2 exons.